This is a small nuclear RNA of Cavia porcellus (domestic guinea pig), 162 nucleotides long. Its record names the gene U1. It matches the Rfam family "U1 spliceosomal RNA". From Rfam's summary of the family: U1 is a small nuclear RNA (snRNA) component of the spliceosome (involved in pre-mRNA splicing). Its 5' end forms complementary base pairs with the 5' splice junction, thus defining the 5' donor site of an intron. Lineage: Eukaryota; Metazoa; Chordata; Mammalia; Rodentia; Caviidae. The record is from Ensembl.
AUACUUACCUGGCAGGGCAGUUACCAUGAUCAUGAAGGUGGUUUCCCAGGGCAAGCUUCAUUCAUUGCAUUGUGGGUGUGCUGAUCCCUGUGAUUUCCCUAAAUGUGAGAAAUGUACUGCAUAAUUUAUGGUAGUGGGGGACUGCAUUUGUGCUUUCUUUUG